This 2496-nucleotide long non-coding RNA is filed under the name Homo sapiens (human). RNAcentral's name for it is "HSALNT0193500". The record is from RNAcentral. Lineage: Eukaryota; Metazoa; Chordata; Mammalia; Primates; Hominidae.
CUUUCCACCAGGGAAGACUGCAAAGGCCAGAGAUCAUUUUCACAACUAAAGGUCGUCAUCUGGGCAAAUGAACCACUCUGACUUGGAGAUUAGGGGCUCAGACAGCCGUGGAUGAGAGUCCAGCUCUACUACUUAUUAGCCUUGAUUAGGUGAGUAUUACCCUGUAUUUCCUUAUCAGAAGGCCUAGGGGCUAACUGCCUCCUUCCAGUAUGUGCAGGAUUUACCUGUGAUCAAAUCCUGGCUCUGCCAUUUGCUAAGUGUAUGACUUGUGGGCAAGUGAUUUGACUUCUCUGGGCCUCAGUUGCCUCAUCUGUAAAAUGAAGAUAAUGGUAAUGAUGAUAGUAUAUAUGUCAAAGGGCUAUUGGGAGGAUGAAGUCAGUUCAUAUAUGUAAAGCCCUCAACACAACACCUGGCAUAGUGGAAAUAUUAUAGAAGUGUCUGUGAUUACUAGUAUCUGGACACCAAUACUCCAUGUAACUAUAAUGCUUUAUAAAUGUUCUGUAUGAAUCAUAAAGCUAUAAAGUUCCAUAAAUGCUCUUUCAUCUUGGCACAUGGAUAUCCCUCACCCAAUUAAGCUUCUUCACCACAGAUAACUGCUCCCUGCACCCGCCUUAUUACCAUUGGUAUUAAGGAACUCUGGAUAGCAUGAUUACGGCAUCAAAGAUAUGCAGAUGCUAUUUUGACUAAGCAGCACUUUCAUCGUAAGCCAAUUUUUAGAGAUUUGAUUAUUGCACUAGAAAAAUCCUGAAAAGUCUGUUUCCACUAAAUCAGACUUCUGUUGGGAAGAGAGACAUGGUUGCUCAAGAAAAACACCUAUACUCAUACCCAGAGUCCCUCUCAUCUGCUGACAGCUUCCCAGGAAGCGUACAAAUAGCUACCCUUCCUUGAGCCUUAUUGAAACUUGCUCUUCAGAUACCCACACCAUGACUGCACCCUGGAAUUUGUCAUGACCUGAAUUUGACACACUUAAGAAAUCACCCUGGAAUCUGUCACGACCUGAAUUUGACACACUUAAGAAAUCUGAAAUUCCAAUAUUCCACCUUCUGACCACAACCUUCCAGCUGCCCUUUUACUCUAGUCACUGCCAGCCUUGGACCUGACCUCCAGUCAGUCUCUUCAUCCCUCCACUUCCCACCAGCAUCCUCACUUACUAUCCUAGGAAGCUGGUCCCUAGUCGCUCACUGGACCACUCUUUCUUAAGCACUCUGAGAUUCCUUUGCAUCCCUAAACUUAUGUCUACACUUGGAAUAACACCCAUCCCCUUAGUCAUCACAAAAAACAGCCAUCUCUUGGAAGGAUUGCUUAAGCCUAGGCAGUCAAUGCUGCAAUGAGUUAUGAUUAUACCACUGUACUCCAGCCUGGGUGAGAGCAAGACCCUGUUUAAAAUUAAAAGAAACUGUCAUAUCUGUUCACCCAGGCAGAAGACACUGAUAGAGAAAGUCCUGUGAUCACAUAGUUUGAUGGUAUUGCCCUUUUAUUCCAUCCAGCCCACAGUGACUUUCCAAAACUUUGACCCCUCUGCCAGGACCUUCUCGACAUCCACCUCUAAUUCUCAGAAGGAGACCUUACUUCCUACAUCUGUGAGAAAACUGAGGACUGCACAUGUGAACCACCUUAACCUUCUGCCCCACCCCCCCCCAUUCAUUCCUUGACUCAUUUAACAAAUAUUUUUUCAACACCUGUUAUGUAACAAGCUCUAUGCGAGGUGCUGGGGAUGAAAUAAAUAACAAACACGCUCUACAUUCAUGAGGCUUACUGUCUGGUGAUGGAUAAAGCUGUAUAAAGAUGACUAAUAAGAGGUCUAACUAUCUUCAUGCUGCAAAACAACCCAAACUACUGCAUGCUCCAGUUGACUGUCACUGCCGAGACCAGCUUCUGAGUAAUUUCAGCCCAGGCAUCAGACUAGUGAGGGAAGGAGCUUCCAGGUGAUACCACCUCCCAGCCAUACUGUGAGAGGGAUGGGAAAGACUGGUGCUUGGGGUGGCCAUCUGACCCCUGAUGGACAGGAGACCAGGACAAGCCCACUGGAUGAGCCGGAGGGGUCCAGGAGGAGGGAGUUGAGAGCUCCUGCUAGGGUUGACACAUUCUGGUAAGGAGUUCAUCUGCUGUCCACCAGUUGCCAUCUUUAGCGCCAAAGGAAUUGCGUCCUCCCACUUGGAUUGAAUGCAGAGCCGCAGCCAUCUAAAAGGAGGAUUUGGGGGGAGCAUGGAGUAGAAAAUGAGGAAGGGGCAGGAUAUGACAGGGGAGACAAUAAAAAGGUCAACACAGCUCCCACCUCGAAGCAGCUGCCAGUUUAUUACAUGAAGUGUCAGGCUGUGGACUGCAGGCAUGCCAUUUUGUCUUCAAGAACAGAAUUCCCGGGCACACGAAUGAUUCCAGGGUUCCUCCAGCACUUUGGUAUUACUUGAAAGCAAUCUUAAGGGAUCUAGAAUGAACCAACGCCCAAAAAGGAUCCCUUAGCAGCGGUGAUAUCAAAGAAACACUUUUGAAGAACUA